UACGGAAGGCAGCAGUGGGGAAUAUUGCACAGUGGGCGCAAGCCUGAUGCAGCCAUGCCGCGUGUAUGAAAAAGGCCUUCGGGUUGUAAAGUACUUUCAGUCGUGAGGAAGGUGUUAAGGUUAAUAACCUUAGCAAUUGACGUUAGCGACAGAAGAAGCACCGGCUAACUCCGUGCCAGCAGCCGCGGUAAUACGGAGGGUGCGAGCGUUAAUCGGAAUUACUGGGCGUAAAGGGCACGCAGGCGGUUAAUUAAGUUGGAUGUGAAAUCCCCGGGCUUAACCUGGGAAUGGCAUUCAAGACUGGUUAGCUAGAGUCUUGUAGAGGGGGUUAGAAUUCCAUGUGUAGCGGUGAAAUGCGUAGAGAUGUGGAGGAAUACCGGUGGCGAAGGCGGCCCCUGGACAAAGACUGACGCUCAUGUGCGAAAGCGUGGGGAGCAAACGAGGGAUUAGAUACC
This 455-nucleotide ribosomal RNA is filed under the name uncultured bacterium. RNAcentral's name for it is "bacterial SSU rRNA". It matches the Rfam family "Bacterial small subunit ribosomal RNA", at positions 340 to 786 of the family's 1533-position model. The record is from RNAcentral.